AUGAACGCUGGCGGCGUGCCUAAUACAUGCAAGUCGAGCGAACGGACGAGAAGCUUGCUUCUCUGAUGUUAGCGGCGGACGGGUGAGUAACACGUGGAUAACCUACCUAUAAGACUGGGAUAACUUCGGGAAACCGGAGCUAAUACCGGAUAAUAUUUUGAACCGCAUGGUUCAAAAGUGAAAGACGGUCUUGCUGUCACUUAUAGAUGGAUCCGCGCUGCAUUAGCUAGUUGGUAAGGUAACGGCUUACCAAGGCAACGAUGCAUAGCCGACCUGAGAGGGUGAUCGGCCACACUGGAACUGAGACACGGUCCAGACUCCUACGGGAGGCAGCAGUAGGGAAUCUUCCGCAAUGGGCGAAAGCCUGACGGAGCAACGCCGCGUGAGUGAUGAAGGUCUUCGGAUCGUAAAACUCUGUUAUUAGGGAAGAACAUAUGUGUAAGUAACUGUGCACAUCUUGACGGUACCCAAUCAGAAAGCCACGGCUAACUACGUG
RNAcentral lists this ribosomal RNA (496 nucleotides) under uncultured bacterium. RNAcentral's name for it is "partial 16S ribosomal RNA". It matches the Rfam family "Bacterial small subunit ribosomal RNA", at positions 29 to 507 of the family's 1533-position model. The record is from RNAcentral.